UCUUUUUAUCUUCGAAAUUUGUCGCUUCUUCAAUCCAGAAUCUGCUUGCUGCUAAUCUACUAGCCGUACUUGUGUUUGUUUUUCUUUUUUAUUGAAAUUUUUUUACAUGCAUGUCUACAAUUCUGCCUUAUUGGGAUUGACUGUUUCAAAAUAAAUACGUGCGUACACAAAUUUGUAUUUCUGAUUUUGGUUGUGUAAAUUAGUAUGUAUGGGGUGAAAGGAGACUUUUCUUGAAUUUGUUUUUCUCUAAAUCCACCGUUGCAAUACACAUGGCCCUAAGAUCCAGGAUCGACCAGAUAACAACCGACACUCCUGAUUGGACAUGUAAGAUCUAGAUCGUUGACAUCAGUUGAGAGAGAAAUUAUCUCUGAUAAUUGUUUUACUGCACAGAGGAAUGCUAUUCAAGCUGCCACAAACUUUGCACAAAGGAAUAAGCUGUCGGCAACCAUUAAUCUGGUUGGCUUCACUUGAUCUCUUUGAUGUGCGAAGCUCGAUGACAUUCUUAGCCACCAACUCUUCAACAAUUGCAGAGAUAUUUUUGGCAACAUCUUUAACAGAGACAUGGCUGGAGAGGUUGUCAAGGUUUCGAUCGACAUAUCCUUCAUGAAAGCUUCAGUGGUGCUCUAAGACUGUUACAUUCCAAACAGAUUUGCCUUGCACUGCUUGUGGUAUAUGCACUUCCAGCGAUUUGUUUAGUUUUUUUGUUCUUUUGGGUGUGUGUUUUGUCGGGGGGAGGGGGAGGGGGAGGGGGAGGGAAGGGUGCGGGAAUCUAAAUAGAAAAUCAGUAUGUCUUAAGUACUGUUAUCCAUACAUGACCAUUGAAGUACCUCUGAGUUAUCAAAGUCUGUUAUUCACGAGAUCAAAGUCUGUUAUUCCUGAUAAAGAACAAGAUAUUAAAUAAGUUACUGUUGGGUGUUGUGCGAUAGCUUGGACAGGUGAUAUCUUGCGAAUUCGUUUGUAAAAGUUUGUCUAGCCCCUUUUAACCUAUAAAAUUUGGUCAAAGUAAUCCACACUUGCUAGCUCAUAUUAGCGAAACAAACUUCACUCUACUUGUUACUUACUGUAGUCCCUUCUUUCUCCCUCCAUUGCCUCUUUUAGGUAGAACUGGUGUGCCUCCUGGUACUAAACCUGAAACUUGUAAGCGCUGCAAAGGUUCUGGUGUGAUGAGUACCUCUUUGCUUAUUUUCAUUCUUUACUUUCAGCCACAUGCAUGCUUCUUUGUGUAUAAUGUUAUUCCUUUUAUCUUGUAUUUUCUCUUUAGUCAAUCUCUCAAACUCUCUCAAACUGGCACUUUCACCCUUCGAAAAACUUGUCCUUCAUGCAAAGGAACAGGGAAAAUUGUAUCGGUAUGACAUCCUGUCUACAGAAAGCAGAAUUGUUAGUUAUGCAUGCAUAUAACUGGUUUUGGUCAAAGUAAAAAGUAACUGGUGUUGAUCUUUGCCUUUUUCUAUGUGGGAAAUGGUCAUUGUACUUAGUUUGCUUUGUAAAUAGGUAUGGUUAUUGUCCUAGACUUAAAAGAUGUCAUGAGCAUCACAGAAGGAAUCUUUAAUUUCACUAACUUCAUCCCAGUUGGGCAAGAAUAAUGUGUAUAUCCAUUGCAUAUUCUUAGAAGUUUGUUUUGAUCUCUCCC
Molecule: long non-coding RNA, 1630 nt
Organism: Capsicum annuum
Lineage: Eukaryota; Viridiplantae; Streptophyta; Magnoliopsida; Solanales; Solanaceae
Exons: 4
Source: RefSeq, a predicted model, not a curated record